RNAcentral lists this ribosomal RNA (348 nucleotides) under uncultured eukaryote. RNAcentral's name for it is "partial 18S ribosomal RNA". It matches the Rfam family "Eukaryotic small subunit ribosomal RNA", at positions 1469 to 1796 of the family's 1831-position model. The record is from RNAcentral.
CCCCUUCGAUGUUCCCGGCCGCACAUGUGCUACACUGGUGGAGGCAACGAGUAUAGUUACUGUGGGCGUUCGCGUCCCCAGACCCCGCACUGGCAACAGUGUAGGUAAUCUGGUGAAACUCUACCGUGCUUGGGAUAGGACUUUGUAAUUCUGGUUCUUGAACGAGGAAUCCCUAGUAGGCAUUACGUCAUUAGCGUGUGCCGAUUACGUCCCUGCUCUUUGUACACACCGCCCGUCGCUACUACCGAUUGAAUGGCUGGGUGAAGAAGACGGACACGGCCGCCCUAAAAAGCGGGCGUUGGAAGUCUUCUCAACCUAGGUCAUUUAGAGGAAGUAAAAGUCGUAACA